RNAcentral lists this unclassified non-coding RNA (282 nucleotides) under Hevea brasiliensis (rubber tree). The record is from RNAcentral. Lineage: Eukaryota; Viridiplantae; Streptophyta; Magnoliopsida; Malpighiales; Euphorbiaceae.
AGUUGAUCUCCAGAAGAAGAAUACCUCUGGCGGUACUUGCUAGUCUUUCUGCAGCCUCAGAGAAGGAUACUUAUCUCCGGCCUUUGCGGUGGAUGGAUCAUUACAGGUAGCCUCAAUGUGGUGGAUGCAUCAACAACCUUCAAAUCAGCCACCCUUGGAAAUCAUCUUCUAUUCCUAUUAGUGACCACCAGACCUUUGCUUUAAUCUCUGAAGUGAAAAUGGUUAGUGAUUCCUCGCAUAGAUCUUUUAAAAUUGAAAAUAUCUGUGUUCUGUAUGCAGCUG